UAGGGAAUCUUCCGCAAUGGACGCAAGUCUGACGGAGCAACGCCGCGUGAGUGAAGAAGGAUUUCGGUUCGUAAAACUCUGUUGUUAGAGAAGAACAGCGCAUAGAGUAACUGUUAUGCGUGUGACGGUAUCUAACCAGAAAGCCACGGCUAACUACGUGCCAGCAGCCGCGGUAAUACGUAGGUGGCAAGCGUUGUCCGGAUUUAUUGGGCGUAAAGCGAGCGCAGGCGGUCAAUUAAGUCUGAUGUGAAAGCCCCCGGCUCAACAGGGGAGGGUCAUUGGAAACUGGUUGACUUGAGUGCAGAAGAGGAGAGUGGAAUUCCAUGUGUAGCGGUGAAAUGCGUAGAUAUAUGGAGGAACACCAGUGGCGAAGGCGACUCUCUGGUCUGUAACUGACGCUGAGGCUCGAAAGCGUGGGUAGCAAACAGG
This 429-nucleotide ribosomal RNA is filed under the name Bacteroidota bacterium. RNAcentral's name for it is "Bacteroidetes bacterium partial 16S ribosomal RNA". It matches the Rfam family "Bacterial small subunit ribosomal RNA", at positions 355 to 776 of the family's 1533-position model. The record is from RNAcentral. Lineage: Bacteria; Pseudomonadati; Bacteroidota.